This 1240-nucleotide long non-coding RNA is filed under the name Astyanax mexicanus (Mexican tetra). RNAcentral's name for it is "lncRNA (ENSAMXG00005006470.1)". The record is from RNAcentral. Lineage: Eukaryota; Metazoa; Chordata; Actinopteri; Characiformes; Acestrorhamphidae.
AUGAAACUGAUUUCAUGCUGGAGUUGGUGUUUCCCUAAAGAUACGGAGAAGUCCGAAGAAAGGAUGAGAAAAAGGAAAAGAAAACGUACUCACCAGACAUUUUGGCUGAAGAAGAAGAUGAAGUUCAGGGAGGCAGCCAAAACGCCUGUUCUUGGCUCUGUUAAAUGGGCAAGAACGAAUUAUUCACAAAAGUAUCCAAAAGUCUCAAUAAAGAACUCUCCAAACACUCUCACCAUAUACAAUAAUAUAGUAAUAUAGCUGGGGAAGUAUUAGUUUGAGUUUUUCUGCCCUCAUCCCUACUAUUUAAAUGCCCAAGAAGUCCAUGAUUUGACAAUGAUUUGAUUGCGCGAUACUUUCAAUUUGAAUAUUCAAAGACUUCGCUAAAAUACUUAUAUCUUAGUGAAAUUCGCAUUUAGAAUGCAUACAACAACACUCACUAUAAUAUAAUAUCAUGCUAUUUCACACUUUGACCUAAAAACAAAAAUAUAUUUUAACAUUUUACCAUCCUUUUAAUAUUGCUGGAUAGAGUCUUCCUGUGAAGCUCUGUUUCCACUUUACACUGAAUUAUGACUGAAAUAAGACAUUUUACACCAUUUUUCACAUCAAACAUUUAUUCCACAGUGGUAAGGAUACUUAAAAAGCACACUUAUGACGAUCUCAGGCCUAUUUUUAAUAUCUUUUUCUGAAAUAUAUGACUGGUGGGCGUGGCAUAUAGUAGCAGCCAUUUUGCCAGGAGAGCACUUGGAUGGAGCUCGAGCUCUGUUCCCAGGUGAUUCUGCCAUACACUGCCCAGUGUGAUAACCACACACAAAUCAAAUUAAAGACCAGCACAGAUGAAUAAUAAGCUUUAUUUCAGAUUUACAACAUAAUCUGAAUUUUUAAGCAGGUUUUGAUAAAAUACAUUUUUAACUCUUAUCCCCAGUCAUUUUCUGUCCAGUGUGGACCACAAGGGAUCAGGUGUAUUGUCGGAUGUUCCUUAAAAAAACUAAAAUUUAAUUAUAACCAUUCUUUAUAAAACAUGUAUCCGUUUAUAUAAGUCUAAAAAUAAUUUUAAAAAUUAAAGACAAAAAAAAAACAAAAAAAAACUGUAGCACUGAUGUACUCGAGCAACGUUUAAACUAAUGCCCUACAACUGGGUACAAAUUUCACUGUAAGAAAACAGACAAUGUAUUUCAUAAAAUAUAACAAUAAUGAUAACAAUGAACACAUAAAUAAAUGCUUCAGGUGUGGCUUUAGAUCA